This 253-nucleotide ribosomal RNA is filed under the name uncultured bacterium. Its description in RNAcentral is "partial 16S ribosomal RNA". It matches the Rfam family "Bacterial small subunit ribosomal RNA", at positions 524 to 776 of the family's 1533-position model. The record is from RNAcentral.
GACAGAGGGUGCAAACGUUGUUCGGAAUUACUGGGCGUAAAGCGUGUGUAGGCGGCCAAGUAAGUUGGAUGUGAAAGCCCGGGGCUCAACCCCGGAAGUGCAUUCAAUACUGCAUGGCUUGAGUAUCGGAGAGGUUGGUGGAAUUCUCGGUGUAGAGGUGAAAUUCGUAGAUAUCGAGAGGAACACCGGUGGCGAAGGCGGCCAACUGGACGAAUACUGACGCUGAGACACGAAAGCGUGGGGAGCAAACAGG